UACGGAAGGCAGCAGUGGGGAAUAUUGCACAAUGGGCGAAAGCCUGAUGCAGCUAUGCCGCGUGUAUGAAGAAGGCCUUAGGGUUGUAAAGUACUUUCAGCGGGGAGGAAGGCGAUGUGGUUAAUAACCGCGUCGAUUGACGUUACCCGCAGAAGAAGCACCGGCUAACUCCGUGCCAGCAGCCGCGGUAAUACGGAGGGUGCAAGCGUUAAUCGGAAUUACUGGGCGUAAAGCGCACGCAGGCGGUCUGUUAAGUCAGAUGUGAAAUCCCCCGGGCUUAACCUGGGAACUGCAUUUUGAAACUGGCAGGCUUGAGUCUCGUAGAGGGGGUAGAAUUCCAGGUGUAGCGGUGAAAUGCGUAGAGAUCUGGAGGAAUACCGGUGGCGAAGGCGGCCCCUGGGACGAAGACUGACGCUCAGGUGCGAAAGCGUGGGGAGCAAACAGGAUUAGAUACC
RNAcentral lists this ribosomal RNA (455 nucleotides) under uncultured bacterium. RNAcentral's name for it is "bacterial SSU rRNA". It matches the Rfam family "Bacterial small subunit ribosomal RNA", at positions 340 to 786 of the family's 1533-position model. The record is from RNAcentral.